UGCGUAGGGUCCGAGCGUUGUCCGGAAUUAUUGGGCGUAAAGAGCUCGUAGGCGGUUUGUCGCGUCUGCUGUGAAAUCCCGAGGCUCAACCUCGGGCCUGCAGUGGGUACGGGCAGACUUGAGUGCGGUAGGGGAGAAUGGAAUUCCUGGUGUAGCGGUGGAAUGCGCAGAUAUCAGGAGGAACACCGAUGGCGAAGGCAGUUCUCUGGGCCGUAACUGACGCUGAGGAGCGGAAGCGUGGGGAGCGAACAGG
This 253-nucleotide ribosomal RNA is filed under the name uncultured bacterium. RNAcentral's name for it is "partial 16S ribosomal RNA". It matches the Rfam family "Bacterial small subunit ribosomal RNA", at positions 524 to 776 of the family's 1533-position model. The record is from RNAcentral.